UUAGUUACGGCGAGUGAAGCGGUAAAAGCUCAAAUUUGAAAUCUGGUACUUUCAGUGCCGAGAGAAGUUUGUAGAAUUUGUCUUUGAUUAGGUCCUUGUCUAUGAUCCUGGGAACAGGACGUCAUAGAGGGUGAGAAUCCCGUUUGGCGAGGAUACCUUUUCUCUGUAAGACUUUUUCGAAGAGUCGAGUUGUUUGGGAAUGCAGCUCAAAGUGGGUGGUAAAUUCCAUCUAAAGCUAAAUAUUGGCGAGAGACCGAUAGCGAACAAGUACAGUGAUGGAAAGAUGAAAAGAACUUUGAAAAGAGAGUGAAAAAGUACGUGAAAUUGUUGAAAGGGAAGGGCAUUUGAUCAGACAUGGUGUUUUUUGCAUGCACUCGCCUCUCGUGGGCUUGGGCCUCUCAAAAAUUUCACUGGGCCAACAUCAAUUCUGGCAGCAGGAUAAAUCAUUAAGAAUGUAGCUACUUCGGUAGUGUUAUAGCUUUUUGGAAUACUGUUAGCCGGGAUUGAGGACUGCGCUUCGGCAAGGAUGUUGGCAUAAUGGUUAAAUGCCGCCCGUCUUGAACCACGGACC
This 571-nucleotide ribosomal RNA is filed under the name Hanseniaspora uvarum. RNAcentral's name for it is "LSU rRNA". It matches the Rfam family "Eukaryotic large subunit ribosomal RNA", at positions 80 to 667 of the family's 3401-position model. The record is from RNAcentral. Lineage: Eukaryota; Fungi; Ascomycota; Saccharomycetes; Saccharomycodales; Saccharomycodaceae.